AAUUUGAGUAAUAACAUGAUGAUAAGUGAACUGUGAACAACAAUUACAAUUCAAAUACAGUAGUUGAUGGGUGUGCGGCAUACAUGACCGACACAACUCGGCAGUCGGCACCAAAUCACCCCCCCCCCCCUACCAGAUCAUGCUGGAUCCAUCCCUGAUCUACAUCUCUUUUAAUUCCUAGAUAUUCAUUUCCAAGUCUUACGAUGCCACAACCCAUUUUGAAACAACCUGUACAGACAUCAUAUCACUGUACGAAAGAAUCACAGGACAGAAAUUUGACUUGAAUUCUGUGAAACGAGAGGUCAAAGACGAGGACUGAUGAGAAUUUUUGAAUCGUUAAUUUUUGGUUAGUGCAGUUAGCAAGAGUUUGCAUGAGAGUUGAUGAGAGUUGAGAAGCGAGUUUACAUGAGAGUUGAUGAGAGUUGAGAAGCGAGAGUUUACAUGAGAGUUGAUGAGAGUUGAGAAGCGAGAGUUUACAUGAGAGUUGAUGAGAGUUGAGAAGCGAGAGUUUACAUGAGAGUUGAUGAGAGUUGAGAAGCGUUAUUUUACAUGAGAGUUGAUGAGAGUUGAGAAGCGAGAGUUUACAUGACAGCUGUUGUACGAUAGUGCUUAGUGAAAUCUUGAAUAUUUAAUGUCAGAAAGUUGAAAUAUAUAACACAUUCUGUACAAUGGAAUGUGUUCUAUUUAUAAAGAGUAGCAUAGUAUAAAAAUAUAAAUUAUAGAGUCAUUUUAAAAGGAGACAGUCGUUUGACAACUGCUUCUACAAUAUAAAUGCAAUUACAUUAAAAUAAUAAUAAUAAGCAAGUG
Non-coding RNA from Paramuricea clavata, 807 nucleotides. Lineage: Eukaryota; Metazoa; Cnidaria; Anthozoa; Malacalcyonacea; Plexauridae. The record is from the annotation of a GenBank genome assembly.